Molecule: ribosomal RNA, 446 nt
Filed under: uncultured bacterium
Lineage: Bacteria
Description: partial 16S ribosomal RNA
Rfam family: Bacterial small subunit ribosomal RNA
Source: RNAcentral
CCUACGGGAGGCAGCAGUCGAGAAUCAUUCACAAUGGGGGAAACCCUGAUGGUGCGACGCCGCGUGGGGGAAUGAAGGUCUUCGGAUUGUAAACCCCUGUCAUGUGGGAGCAAAUUAAAAAGAUAGUACCACAAGAGGAAGAGACGGCUAACUCUGUGCCAGCAGCCGCGGUAAUACAGAGGUCUCAAGCGUUGUUCGGAAUCACUGGGCGUAAAGCGUGCGUAGGCUGUUUCGUAAGUCGGGAGUGAACGGCGCGGGCCCAACCCGCGGACGGCACAGGAAACUGCGAGACUAGAGUAAUGGAGGGGGAACCGGAAUUCUCGGUGUAGCAGUGAAAUGCGUAGAUAUCGAGAGGAACACUCGUGGCGAAGGCGGGUUCCUGGACAUUAACUGACGCUGAGGCACGAAGGCCAGGGGAGCGAAAGGGAUUAGAUACCCGAGUAGUC